GGGCGGUUAGCUCAGUUGGCCAGAGCGCCAGCUUGACAUGCUGGAGGCCACAAGUUCAAGUCUUGUACCGCCCACCU
This 77-nucleotide transfer RNA is filed under the name Anaerolineae bacterium. RNAcentral describes it as "tRNA-Val". It matches the Rfam family "tRNA". Rfam says of the family: Transfer RNA (tRNA) molecules are approximately 80 nucleotides in length. The record is from RNAcentral. Lineage: Bacteria; Bacillati; Chloroflexota; Anaerolineae.